RNAcentral lists this ribosomal RNA (429 nucleotides) under Bacteroidota bacterium. RNAcentral describes it as "Bacteroidetes bacterium partial 16S ribosomal RNA". It matches the Rfam family "Bacterial small subunit ribosomal RNA", at positions 355 to 776 of the family's 1533-position model. Lineage: Bacteria; Pseudomonadati; Bacteroidota. The record is from RNAcentral.
UAGGGAAUCUUCGGCAAUGGGGGGAACCCUGACCGAGCAACGCCGCGCGAGUGAAGAAGGUUCUCGGAUCGUAAAGCUCUGUUGUUAAGGAAGAACGAGCGUGAGAAUGGAAAGUUCAUGCUGUGACGGUACUUAACCAGAAAGGGACGGCUAACUACGUGCCAGCAGCCGCGGUAAUACGUAGGUCCCGAGCGUUGUCCGGAUUUAUUGGGCGUAAAGCGAGCGCAGGCGGUUAGAUAAGUCUGAAGUUAAAGGCAGUGGCUCAACCAUUGUAGGCUUUGGAAACUGUUUAACUUGAGUGCAGAAGGGGAGAGUGGAAUUCCAUGUGUAGCGGUGAAAUGCGUAGAUAUAUGGGGGAACACCGGUGGCGAAAGCGGCUCUCUGGUCUGUAACUGACGCUGAGGCUCGAAAGCGUGGGUAGCAAACAGG